CCUACGGGUGGCAGCAGUGGGGAAUAUUGCACAAUGGGGGAAACCCUGAUGCAGCAACGCCGCGUGAGUGAAGAAGUAUUUCGGUAUGUAAAGCUCUAUCAGCAGGGAAGAAGAUGACGGUACCUGAAUAAGAAGCACCGGCUAACUACGUGCCAGCAGCCGCGGUAAUACGUAGGGGGCAAGCGUUAUCCGGAUUUACUGGGUGUAAAGGGAGCGCAGACGGCAGUGCAAGUCUGGAGUGAAAGCCCGGGGCCCAACCCCGGAACUGCUCUGGAAACUGUGCGGCUAGAGUACCGGAGAGGUCAUCGGAAUUCCUGGUGUAGCGGUGAAAUGCGUAGAUAUAAGGAAGAACACCAGUGGCGAAGGCGGAUGACUGGACGGCAACUGACGGUGAGGCGCGAAAGCGUGGGGAGCAAACAGGAUUAGAUACCCCAGUAGUC
Molecule: ribosomal RNA, 440 nt
Filed under: uncultured bacterium
Lineage: Bacteria
Description: partial 16S ribosomal RNA
Rfam family: Bacterial small subunit ribosomal RNA
Source: RNAcentral